This 28-nucleotide ribosomal RNA is filed under the name Olea capensis subsp. macrocarpa. RNAcentral's name for it is "partial 5.8S ribosomal RNA". Lineage: Eukaryota; Viridiplantae; Streptophyta; Magnoliopsida; Lamiales; Oleaceae. The record is from RNAcentral.
UGACUCUCGGCAACGGAUAUCUCGGCUC